CAUGACAGUAUUACUACAAAUGACGCAGGAGUACUAAAGCACACAAAUAGGUGAUAUCUAUUCCUUGGACUCAGAGUCUACUGAAUGCAAACAUAUUUUAAUACAGAAUUUUGACAAUAGAUUUAAUCUUUAAGUGUGUCAUCUUUGCCGGAAUUAUUGACUUGUCAUGGGUUAUUUACUUAUAUUCUGUAUAAAGGAAAAAUACACGCUUCGCCUUAUUGAAAAGAUCAUAUUAUAUAUUUUUAAGAUAUAUUUUAGUUAACAUAUAAAUACACAUGGACAAACUUUGAAAUCUAAAAAGAACAAUA
This 308-nucleotide long non-coding RNA is filed under the name Daucus carota (carrot). RNAcentral's name for it is "long non-coding RNA (DCAR_LNC007447)". The record is from RNAcentral. Lineage: Eukaryota; Viridiplantae; Streptophyta; Magnoliopsida; Apiales; Apiaceae.